CCUACGGGCGGCAGCAGUGGGGAAUAUUGCGCAAUGGGCGAAAGCCUGACGCAGCGACGCCGCGUGAGGGAUGAAGGUCUUCGGAUCGUAAACCUCUGUCAGCAGGGACGAACGGUCACUGUGCUAAUCAGCAGUGACUUGACGGUACCUGCAAAGGAAGCACCGGCUAACUCCGUGCUAGCAGCCGCGGUAAUACGGAGGGUGCGAGCGUUAAUCGGAAUUACUGGGCGUAAAGCGCUCGUAGGCGGCAUGUCAAGUCAAGGGUGAAAUCCCCGCGCUCAACGUGGGAACUGCCUGUGAAACUGGCAAACUGGAGUGUGUGAGAGGAUAGUGGAAUUCCAGGUGUAGGAGUGAAAUCCGUAGAUAUCCGGAGGAACAUCAGUGGCGAAGGCGACUAUCUGGCACAUAAUUGACGCUGAGGAGCGAAAGCGUGGGUAGCAAACAGGAUUAGAUACCCCUGUAGUC
This 465-nucleotide ribosomal RNA is filed under the name uncultured bacterium. RNAcentral's name for it is "partial 16S ribosomal RNA". It matches the Rfam family "Bacterial small subunit ribosomal RNA", at positions 338 to 795 of the family's 1533-position model. The record is from RNAcentral.